UACACUCCUGCGGGAGGCAGCAGUGGGGAAUUUUGGACAAUGGGCGAAAGCCUGAUCCAGCAAUGCCGCGUGAGUGAAGAAGGCCUUCGGGUUGUAAAGCUCUUUUGUCAGGGAAGAAACGGUGAGAGCUAAUAUCUUUUGCUAAUGACGGUACCUGAAGAAUAAGCACCGGCUAACUACGUGCCAGCAGCCGCGGUAAUACGUAGGGUGCAAGCGUUAAUCGGAAUUACUGGGCGUAAAGCGUGCGCAGGCGGUUUUGUAAGUCUGAUGUGAAAUCCCCGGGCUCAACCUGGGAAUUGCAUUGGAGACUGCAAGGCUAGAAUCUGGCAGAGGGGGGUAGAAUUCCACGUGUAGCAGUGAAAUGCGUAGAUAUGUGGAGGAACACCGAUGGCGAAGGCAGCCCCCUGGGUCAAGAUUGACGCUCAUGCACGAAAGCGUGGGGAGCAAACAGGAUUAGAUACCCUUGUAGUCCC
RNAcentral lists this ribosomal RNA (473 nucleotides) under uncultured organism. RNAcentral describes it as "partial 16S ribosomal RNA". It matches the Rfam family "Bacterial small subunit ribosomal RNA", at positions 332 to 797 of the family's 1533-position model. The record is from RNAcentral.